ACGCUCGACACCUACGGGGCAGCAGUGAGGAAUAUUGGUCAAUGGGCGCUAGCCUGAACCAGCCAAGUAGCGUGAAGGAUGAAGGCUCUAUGGGUCGUAAACUUCUUUUAUAUAAGAAUAAAGUGCAGUAUGUAUACUGUUUUGUAUGUAUUAUAUGAAUAAGGAUCGGCUAACUCCGUGCCUGCAGCCGCGGUAAUCUGAGGCGGGCGUGGACGAAGGC
RNAcentral lists this ribosomal RNA (220 nucleotides) under uncultured bacterium. Its description in RNAcentral is "partial 16S ribosomal RNA". It matches the Rfam family "Bacterial small subunit ribosomal RNA", at positions 326 to 545 of the family's 1533-position model. The record is from RNAcentral.